CAACAGAAUAAUACUUAAUAGGUCAUUGGUCUGGUCCUAAUUUUUUUUACAGGUGUGAACUUUCCUUUUUUCAAAUUAUUUUGAAAGGAGAGUAUACAAUCGUCAUCAGUAAAGAAUUCUCCAGAAAGAAGAAAGCCACAUUGAGAGCAGUCCAAAGAGCACCAUGGAGUGAACACAGGGAUCUCCCUGAUGGGGUGGGGAGCACCAUGGAGUGAACACAGGGAUCUCCCUUAUGAGGCCAGGAGCACCACGGAGGGAGCAUGGGAUUGAUUUUCCCUGAUGGGGUCAGGAGCAACAUGGAGUGAGCAUGGAGGUCUUUUCUCCCUUAUAUGGCAACCUACACUUCUUUAAGGACAUCAGGCAGAACAUGUGUGACAAAACUAGCCUUCCUCCAAAGACAUCCCUAUUAGAGACUGACCACAUUGGCCAGAGUCAUGCCACAACCUGCCACAGACUCUACCACAGCCUUCUGCAGGGACAAAGCCACCAGCCUGCCCAUCAGGAGGAUCAGUGGAGAGCUGAGAGGAGUAGGUGGUUUGUGAGAGAAUCAUGUGCAAGUGAGCUGAGGGCUCACACAGAACAGAGAGGAGUUUGGAAGCUUUUGCUGCAAAGGUCUGAGUUGUGUGGCUUAGAUCAACAGUGAGUUAGUUUACUCUUUGAUGAAAAACUAAUGGUAGAUAAAAAGGCAAAUGCCCUCCAACGGAGAAAGCAGUUACAGAUACGGAAAAGGAGAAGCUGAGAUGGACCUGCAGGUCAGACUGGC
This 763-nucleotide long non-coding RNA is filed under the name Rattus norvegicus (Norway rat). RNAcentral describes it as "long non-coding RNA NONRATT032274". Lineage: Eukaryota; Metazoa; Chordata; Mammalia; Rodentia; Muridae. The record is from RNAcentral.